UGCAAGUCGAGCGGAAACGAUCCCAGCUUGCUGGGAGGCGUCGAGCGGCGGACGGGUGAGUAAUGCAUAGGAAUCUGCCCGGUAGUGGGGGAUAACUUGAGGAAACUCAAGCUAAUACCGCAUACGCCCUACGGGGGAAAGCAGGGGCUCUUCGGACCUUGCGCUAUCGGAUGAGCUUAUGUCGGAUUAGCUAGUUGGUGAGGUAACGGCUUACCAAGGCGACGAUCCGUAGCUGGUCUGAGAGGAUGAUCAGCCACAUCGGGACUGAGACACGGCCCGAACUCCUACGGGAGGCAGCAGUGGGGAAUAUUGGACAAUGGGCGAAAGCCUGAUCCAGCCAUGCCGCGUGUGUGAAGAAGGCCCUCGGGUUGUAAAGCACUUUCAGUGAGGAAGAAGGCUUGUCGGUUAAUACCCGGCAGGAAAGACAUCACUCACAGAAGAAGCCCCGGCUAACUCCGUGCCAGCAGCCGCGGUAAUACGGAGGGGGCAAGCGUUAAUCGGAAUUACUGGGCGUAAAGCGUGCGUAGGCGGCUUGGUAAGCCGGUUGUGAAAGCCCCGGGCUCAACCUGGGAAUGGCAUCCGGAACUGUCAGGCUAGAGUGCAGGAGAGGAAGGUAGAAUUCCCGGUGUAGCGGUGAAAUGCGUAGAGAUCGGGAGGAAUACCAGUGGCGAAGGCGGCCUUCUGGACUGACACUGACGCUGAGGUACGAAAGCGUGGGUAGCAAACAGGAUUAGAUACCCUGGUAGUCCACGCCGUAAACGAUGUCGACUAGCCGUUGGGGUCCUUGAGACCUUUGUGGCGCAGUUAACGCACUAAGUCGACCGCCUGGGGAGUACGGCCGCAAGGUUAAAACUCAAAUGAAUUGACGGGGGCCCGCACAAGCGGUGGAGCAUGUGGUUUAAUUCGAUGCAACGCGAAGAACCUUACCUACCCUUGACAUCGUGCGAACUUGG
RNAcentral lists this ribosomal RNA (953 nucleotides) under Halomonas halmophila. RNAcentral's name for it is "bacterial SSU rRNA". It matches the Rfam family "Bacterial small subunit ribosomal RNA", at positions 56 to 1000 of the family's 1533-position model. Lineage: Bacteria; Pseudomonadati; Pseudomonadota; Gammaproteobacteria; Oceanospirillales; Halomonadaceae. The record is from RNAcentral.